RNAcentral lists this ribosomal RNA (329 nucleotides) under uncultured eukaryote. Its description in RNAcentral is "partial 18S ribosomal RNA". It matches the Rfam family "Eukaryotic small subunit ribosomal RNA", at positions 1470 to 1796 of the family's 1831-position model. The record is from RNAcentral.
CCCUUAGAUGUUCUGGGCCGCACGCGCGCUACACUGAUGCAUUCAACGAGUCUAAAACCUGCUCUGAUAGGGGUGGGUAAUCUUUUGAACGUGCAUCGUGAUUGGGAUAGAUGAUUGCAAUUUUUCAUCUUCAACGAGGAAUGCCUAGUAAACGCAAGUCAUCAGCUUGCAUUGAUUACGUCCCUGCCCUUUGUACACACCGCCCGUCGCUCCUACCGAUUGAAUGAUCCGAUGAAUAUCAUGGAUUGAGGAUGCAAGUAGGUUAGCCUAUCUUCAUCUUCGAGAAGUGAAGUAAAUCUUAUCAUUUAGAGGAAGGAGAAGUCGUAACA